UUGAGUUUCUACCUGAUAUCAUUUCCCUCAAGCCUUCAAUAGGUCUGCAGAUGAUGAGUUCCCUCGGCUUUAUCCCUGGAAACAAAUCUAGGCUGACAAUUCUUUCUUUUUGCUGGGAAUUUGACCAGAAAACUUGGAAUCUGCCAGGAAUAUUGUUUGAGAGAAGAAGGCCUUUGACAAAGCGUGGGUGAAGGCGGUGAUGAGAAACAAAGCAACAACGUGUCGCGUUUGGUCCUGUCACAUUCAGAAUGCCCCAUAAACCAGCACCGGGACAAACCUCAGAAAAGUCUGGAACAUUGGAACACCCCCUCAGA
Odocoileus virginianus texanus is the source of this 314-nucleotide non-coding RNA. Lineage: Eukaryota; Metazoa; Chordata; Mammalia; Artiodactyla; Cervidae. The record is from RefSeq and is a predicted model, not a curated record.